GCCUCUGUAGCUCAGUCGGUAGAGCACAUCCAUGGUAAGGAUGGGGUCACCGGUUCAAGUCCGGUCGGAGGCU
Molecule: transfer RNA, 73 nt
Filed under: Spirochaeta isovalerica
Lineage: Bacteria; Pseudomonadati; Spirochaetota; Spirochaetia; Spirochaetales; Spirochaetaceae
Also listed under: 7 other names
Rfam family: tRNA
About the family: Transfer RNA (tRNA) molecules are approximately 80 nucleotides in length. Their secondary structure includes four short double-helical elements and three loops (D, anti-codon, and T loops).
Source: Rfam by way of RNAcentral